CAGAAUCCGAGACGACGUCGCCGUCGCCGGAGGGGAUCAGGGGAACGGGAACAGGACGUGGCCUGUGGGAGAACGGGAAAAGAUUAGGGUGCUUUUUGCUAAUAUUUGGAAUAAUCGUGAUCCAAAUAUUUUCAUAAUCACCUCUGAAAUGGAUCGCGAUUAAUCGGUGCGAUCCGAUUUAUGAUUUUUUUAAAUAUUUGGAUCACGAUUAAUAGUCGCGAUCCGUUUCAGGGGGCUUUUGCAAAUAUCGGGUAACGAAUGAGGGGGUUUGACGUGAAACAACGUGGAGCUCCA
RNAcentral lists this long non-coding RNA (294 nucleotides) under Setaria viridis. Its description in RNAcentral is "long non-coding RNA (SVIR_LNC008375)". Lineage: Eukaryota; Viridiplantae; Streptophyta; Magnoliopsida; Poales; Poaceae. The record is from RNAcentral.